This is a non-coding RNA of Stegostoma tigrinum, 1430 nucleotides long. NCBI's taxonomy places the organism in Eukaryota, Metazoa, Chordata, Chondrichthyes, Orectolobiformes, Stegostomatidae. The record is from the annotation of a RefSeq genome assembly.
UUCUCACAGGCUGCAUCUUUAUAAAGCAGGGCAAAGUGAAGAAAGAGUUUAUCAGGAACCAGGCACUGGGACAGGAGCAUACACCAUGAUUUCACACAUACAACUGAUCUGGCCUCUGGCAUUCUGCGUCGCAGGUAUCAGUGGGGACAUCACCAUGAGCCAGUCUCCCCCAGUGCUGUCAGUGGGACUGGGUCAGACCGCAACCAUCACCUGUACGGCCAGCCAAAGCAUUGGCAAUAACAUUGCUUGGUACCAGCAGCGAGAAGGACAGAAACCCUCUCUCCUGAUCUAUGAAGCAACAGAUCGAUUCACAGGAAUCUCCGAGCGAUUCAGUGGCAGUGGAUCAGGGACUAGUUUCACCCUGACAAUCAGCAAUGUUCAGAAUGAGGAUGUCACUGACUAUUACUGUCAGCAGUAUCAGAGCUAUGCCUAUACGUUCGGUAAAGGAACCAAGCUCAGACUGAGCCGUGACAGGUCUCAGCCCAAGCUGACCCUGCUGCCCCCCUCCCCGGAGCAGGUUCAGACCAAGGGCACUGCCACCCUGGUGUGCCUCGCCAAUCACUUCUAUCCUGAUGAGCUGGUGGUGCAGUGGAAGAAGGAUGGUGCAAUCAUUUCAGACGGGGUUCAGACCAGCAACUACUUGCUAGCUUCGGACAGCACCUACAGUGUCAGCAGCCUGCUGACCCUCUCUGGCUCUGACUGGGAGUCCAACGCUCGCUUCUCCUGUGCCCUGACCCACGUCACCCUCCCCUCUCCCCUCAGCAAGACCAUCAGGAGAUCAGAAUGUGUGUAGUGUGUUUGAGACAGUCCACAGAGGGGACACAACUUUAAAUAGAACAGGGCUGAGCUGGCAGGACAAAGGUCAUUGUCAGUACAGAAUUUCAACUCUCUUCCUUCUCGCGACUGGUUUGGAGACCCUUCUGAGGUUCAGGGGUUAAGACAGGUCAUUGGGGCAGUGUAGAGGGUGCUUUACUCUGUUUCUCACCCCAUGCUGUCCCUGUCCUGGAAGUGUUUGAUGGAGACAGUGUUGAGGUGUGAUGCCAAGUAAAAUCUCUCAAAGUUGCUGAAGACUGCCAGCUGUACAAAAAUCUCUGAUGAAGGGUCUAGGUCCGAAACGUCAGCUUUUGUGCUCCUGAGAUGCUGCUUGGACUGCUGUGUUCAUCUAGCUUCACACUUUGUUAUCUUGAACCUCAGAAGUCUGUGCUUCAGUAAGCCAGAACUCCUUCCUGCUCAGCUGCCAGUUCCAAUUUAAAGUUUUGUCACAGCUUAAAAUGACACAACUCUAAUGUUAUUGAGAAAAUCUCCUCAAGUGUUUUCCUCAAGCUCCAUUAUGGCUGUGAAUUUGUGCACUUCCUCUGUCUGGGCUGUUAAUUGCAGUCUUUUUUUGUCAAUGUCAAUCUGGAAAAUGGAAUAAAGAUGAAGAAGAUUCA